This 699-nucleotide ribosomal RNA is filed under the name uncultured Vagococcus sp. RNAcentral describes it as "bacterial SSU rRNA". It matches the Rfam family "Bacterial small subunit ribosomal RNA", at positions 801 to 1502 of the family's 1533-position model. The record is from RNAcentral. Lineage: Bacteria; Bacillati; Bacillota; Bacilli; Lactobacillales; Enterococcaceae.
CGUAAACGAUGAGUGCUAAGUGUUAGGGGGUUCCGCCCUUUAGUGCUGCAGCUAACGCAUUAAGCACUCCGCUGGGGAGUACGACCGCAAGGUUGAAACUCAAAGGAAUUGACGGGGGCCCGCACAAGCGGUGGAGCAUGUGGUUUAAUUCGAAGCAACGCGAAGAACCUUACCAGGUCUUGACAUCCUUUGACAACUCUAGAGAUAGAGCUUUCCCUUCGGGGACAAAGUGACAGGUGGUGCAUGGUUGUCGUCAGCUCGUGUCGUGAGAUGUUGGGUUAAGUCCCGCAACGAGCGCAACCCUUAUUGUUAGUUGCCAUCAUUCAGUUGGGCACUCUAGCGAAACUGCCGGUGACAAACCGGAGGAAGGUGGGGAUGACGUCAAAUCAUCAUGCCCCUUAUGACCUGGGCUACACACGUGCUACAAUGGACAGUACAAUGAGCAGCGACACGGCGACGUGAAGCGAAUCUCAUAAAGCUGUUCUCAGUUCGGAUUGUAGGCUGCAACUCGCCUACAUGAAGCCGGAAUCGCUAGUAAUCGCGGAUCAGCACGCCGCGGUGAAUACGUUCCCGGGCCUUGUACACACCGCCCGUCACACCACGAAAGUUUGUAACACCCAAAGUCGGUGAGGUAACCUUCGGGAGCCAGCCGCCUAAGGUGGGAUAGAUGAUUGGGGUGAAGUCGUAACAAGGUAACCA